Molecule: long non-coding RNA, 1459 nt
Filed under: Gallus gallus (chicken)
Lineage: Eukaryota; Metazoa; Chordata; Aves; Galliformes; Phasianidae
Description: lncRNA (ENSGALG00010005124.1)
Source: RNAcentral
CAAUAAGAAUGAUGAGCUGUCUUGGAGGAUUGACAGAAAUGGGGUUGCUGAGCUGAAAGAAGAGAGCACUGAGGAGGGAGAUGGCAAUAACCCUCAGAUGUAAAAAUGCACUGCGGCAAAGAGGAAGGGAGUAAUCUGCUAACCACACUUACGUUGGAUGCAACAAAAGCACUUAGCCAACAGGUACCGGCAAAAAAAAAAAUGGCAUGAAGACAAGACUGGAGCAUAACAGAUAUUUGCUUAAGUAUGAAGAGGACUUGAACUGAACUCUGAGACAUGAGCUAUCCCAUGUGUCACAGAGAGUAUUCAUACAGAAAUCAAUGGCAUUACCAAUACGUCAGUAUUAGAGACUCACUGAAAGAAGGGUGGAAGGACAGUCUCAAGAUUUGGAAGACUAGGUCUGUUUCAUGACAUGAAUGGGUGCAUUUAUGAGAGUGCUACCAUGUAAUUAUAUAAUUAUAUAUAUGUAAAUUUAACUUACUUGGGAAAGAGACAAGUCCUGUGUGCACAAUGUAGUCUGUAAGUAUAUUUGGGCUUCAAUAAAGAGAGCUAACAUAGGCAGUAUGUGGUAUUGAAUAUGCAGGUUGUGUAUUUCAAAUCUGCAUAGCCUACUAGGAUCAGGUAUCUGCAUCUCAUCUCAGUAGGUCAAAUUACUUAUGAGAAUACAAUGAAAACCAUCAGUUUUCUUUUCACCCUCUGGUACACUAUCGUUAAAUCAGAUAUUGUAAUAUCAAUAUCUAGGAAUUAACUUACAUAUUGUUUAAAAAUGGGAGAUCUCUGAAUAAAUGCUUGUUCUUUCUUCAUACCUAAUUGGCUUCUGUGAAGUGGUAGCAUACACUGACAUUUCUUAGCUGUGUAAUUCAGACAGGCAAGCUGUUUCAGUCCAUAAAACCCCAAAGCUAUGAGACCACUGAUCUAGUGAAGCUGACUUUAUAGAAUCAUAGAACCAUUAAGGCUGGAAAAGACAACUAAGAUCAUCCAGUCCAACCAUCAACCCGCCACCACUAUGCCCACUAGCCAUGUCUCUCAGUGCCACAUCUACACUUUUCUUGAAAACUUCCAGGGAUGGUGACUCCACCACCACCCUGUGAAGCCUGUUCCAAUGCAUUAUCACUCCUUCUGGGAGAAAUUUUUCUUAAUAUCCAACCUGAACCUCCUCUGGUCCAACUUUCAUAACUUUAAGGUAGCUUACUCAAGUCAGGCAGCAAAUCGCAACACAGUAAGGCAAAAGCAGUCUAGAAUGCCAGUGAGUUCUCCAAUUCCAGUGAGUGGUAGUUCUCAACUUACAGCCACAAGAGAGGGGAAAGUGCUUUUGUAAGUGGCUUCAAGUUGUCUUUCUUCUUUGCAGGAAGAUGGCAAGGACUGGAAAACAAAGUUAAACUUUCACAUACUUGCAACUUUUACUAUGAAAUAGGAAACUUCCUUUUCUUGAGAUGUAAAUUCACUGCGUAAUGGGCCA